Molecule: long non-coding RNA, 235 nt
Organism: Coregonus clupeaformis (lake whitefish)
Lineage: Eukaryota; Metazoa; Chordata; Actinopteri; Salmoniformes; Salmonidae
Exons: 3
Source: RefSeq, a predicted model, not a curated record
UUUUGAGGAUAUUAUAAAGGAUCCCUCAACUGGGGUGCUAACCAUCAAAUAUGACUCAGAAAGCUUCCAUCCACAAGUGAGCUUGAAGAACUCUUGCUGGCAGCUGAUCCUCCUGAGGAUGGCACUGAAUUGGAUGUUGACUUUGGUUGGGACAGUGAUCUGUCAUCGGUUUUACUGCUUAUACACCUGAUUCCACCCUCCGCUCAGGGUCGGAAGAGACCAGGAAAGGUUUCCC